This is a long non-coding RNA of Protopterus annectens (West African lungfish), 1016 nucleotides long. RefSeq lists it as uncharacterized. The record is from RefSeq and is a predicted model, not a curated record. Lineage: Eukaryota; Metazoa; Chordata; Ceratodontiformes; Protopteridae. The transcript is spliced from 2 exons.
UAACUCUGCGCAUGCGCAGACACACAGAGACUGCCCCGCAGACACCCAGGAAUCUGUGCGAGGUCAGACUACCUGAGUCAGCAGUCCGGAUACAGGGAAGGGCAUUUCUGCCCCGCAGAUGCCCAGGAAUCUGUGCGGAACAGAGGAGCUCCGGACUGCUUCCAUCAGCAGACAAGACCAAUCAGGAGAGAUGUGAGGUAAGUUUUAAGCUCUCGCGGGGGAGUUUGUUAAUCGCGGACUUGGAUUUCGAGCGGGCUUCGUGGAUUCAGGUCUUUCGUCGCGAACGUGCUGCUUGUCGAGCGGGCUACUUCGUGGACUUGGAAGUGUACUGGAUCUGACACAUUUAAACAGACUGGAAGAAAAUAUUAAGGCAACAGAAUGACAAGAAUUUAUCUACUGUGCAAUUCACAGCUAUUAAAGUUAAUCACUGGCAACACUCCUCAGAAUGGCUGAAAACCCAAAAGAGAACACAAUUACAGACGCCUGCUGGAGAUAUGGACAAAUAAAAGCCCAUUACUUACAGAGGGUAUGCAAAUGCCCAGUGGUUGAACACAUCGGGGUCAAGGUAACUGAAUGUACCACUUGAUCAAAGUGCCUCUUAUCAGAGAGGUCAAGUUUUAGAAAUGAAACAACCAAAGACAACAAUGUCUGUAUAUGUAUUAAAUUAUGGGUUAGAUUAAAUUAUUACAGUCUUAGUUGCUGCAAUAAGUAAAAAUUGGAAAAAUCUCUCCAAGAACUGGAAAAUAUGAUAGACCAUGAAAUAUUCACUAUAAAACUGGGUGGACUUUUGAAAUUUAUAAUAUAUUUAUCUUCUAAACUAAUCCCGAUGAAACAAUAGUCAUUGUUUACUGUUGCUCAUUUUAAUAGAUAUGUCUGUCUGUUCAGUGCUGCAAGUGGAUUAUAAUUCAAUGAGGUUAUACAUUGUUUUAGUAUUUGGGUUCUUUUUAUCCAUAAAGAUUUUUCUGUGUUAAAACGGGCAUGUCAUAAAGUCUCUGAAAUAAAGAAACUAAAUCCAA